GCAGUGAGCCGAGAUUGCAGUCUGGGCGACAGGGCAAGACUCCAUCUAAAAAAAAAAAAAGGCAUGAAUGAAUCUGGGGGAAUAGCAAAUGCAAAGGUCCUGAGGUGGGCAUCCACUUGGACAGUUCACAAAAGAGGCAUCUGAGGGGCAUUGGGAUACACCACCCCAAAAUAUGCCUCUUCGCAUGUGGAUUAUUUUGAAUUAAAGGCCAUUAAGAACCAGCAGACCACAGGAAAGGCUCUAAAAACCAUUUUCAUUUUGUAAAAAAAAUUCACAUUUAUUAUAAAGGAAAUUUCCACGUCUCCCUCUUCCAUGCAAGGAAGAGGAUAUCUUGUAACAACUCUUAUCAGUGGAAGAAAGUACUGACUUAAGUCUGCAUAACAAACCUUCCUAAACAACCCUUGUUUACCAUACUUUUCCUGGGCACCUUCUGCUGAGGUUUGAAUAUACCCUCCAAAACUCAUGUUGAAAUUUAAUUGCCAUUGUAUAAGAGGUAGGACUGUUCAGAGGUGAUUAGGCCAUGAGGCCUCCACCCUCAAGGAUAGAUUAAUGCCAUUGUGGGAGUGGGUUGUUAUAAAAAUGAGUUUGACCCUCUCUUGUUCUGUCUCUUUCACCCUCUCUUGUACUUCCACCCUCCUUCCAUGGGACAAUGUAGCAUAAAGGCCCUCACCAGAUGCCAAUGCCAUGCUCUUGGACUUCCCAGUCUUCAGAACCAUGAGCCAGAUAAGCCACUUUUCUUUAUAAAUUACACAGUCUGUGGCAUUCUGUUACAGCAGCACAAAUAGACCAAGACACCUUCCCACUACAUGCCUCCCCUGCCCAGAAGCUCCAGGCCUUUUCCUUUAUGUCAGCCUAAGAUGAUAGAUGAACCCAAGUCCUGACCACACUUUGGGUUAUUCAUUGCCAGGUACUGCCACAUGUAAGUGCAAUGCACAUGCCAAUAAACUUGUUUUUUUCUUGCCUGAUUGAAUUGUCUUUGGCUGGUGUAAUUAGAGGCCCCCUAGCUGGAGACCCUAACAUGGGCUGGGGAAAAGAUUUUUUUCCUUCUGUAAAUAACCAAGAGUUGGAUUCAGCUUCAUCUUCCAUUUUAGCAACAAAACUGCCAGGCUUCAGAACAGGCAAAAUGGAAAGAAAUUGGGCUAUGCUUUUAUUUUAUAUAAAGCUGAAAAGCAGUUUUGCCCUUCUAAGAGAAAGGAUUGUUCUGGCAGCCUGGAUCAGAGCAGUGAUCAGGCCAGAGCAUCUGCUAACCUCAGCAUCAGGGAAUCCCUGUUUUAGACUGUCCUCUACGUCUCUGUCUUCUCCUUUUGGGAGGUAAUUUUUAAAAAAUCACUAAGAAGGGAUGGAUGCUGGUUCUGGUUUCGUUACUGUUGUAGGGAGCUAUUCUGUGUUGCUGGAGAUAAUACAUUACCUUUAAAGUUCUUUUAUCUUUUUGUUUUUGAGACAGGGUUUCAUGGUGUUGCCCAGGCUGGAAUGCCAUGGUGUGAUCACGGCUCACUGCAGCCUCGAUCUCCCAGGCUCAGGUUAUCCUCCCACCCCAGCCUCCCAAGUAGUUGGAACUACAGGUGCAUGCCACCACGCCCAGCUAAUUUUUGUAUUUAUUAUAGAGAUGAGCUUUCUCUAUGUUGCCUAGGCUGGUCUUGAACUCAUAGGCUCAAGCCAUCCACCCAACUCGGUCUCCCUAAAGUGUUGGGAUUACAGGCAUGAGCCACUGUGCCCAGCCUGAAGUUCUUUAAAUAGGUAUUUAAGAUUCUGUCUGUAGCAAGUCCCCUGUCAUCUGCCUCAGAAAAAGAGAUGAAAGAUGUCUUGUGAAUGGAAGAAGAUGCUGUGGGACUUAGAAGCGGGGUGUGGAAAACAGACAUUUUUGGUCGGCUAGGCUUAAGCUUCUUGAGGACCUGAAGAGUGUCUCAUUGAUCGCUGGUGAAAUGAGUGACUCAGAAGCACCGCCGGCCCUUGAGACCGCAGGUGCGGAGGGAAAAUCUCUCUGGGAUCCCAGCAACGCCACUGGCAGAUCUGUGCUGGUCAAUUUCGUGUUUGCAAAUGAACACAGACCCAGGCUUUCAGGAAACAGAGAUAAAUAACAAAUGCAUUAUUUUUGAGAGGCUGGUAAUUAUAAAGCUCGAGGGAAUAAAGAGCCCACCAGCUGGAAUGACACUGUGGAACUGAUGCCCUCCCUCCACUGGGGUGUGUCAACAGAUAUUCUUAGUGACAUUAAUGAUUUUAACACACUGACAUUAAAGGAAAAAGAAUCUAUUGAAGGGCUGGGUUGCCCCUCCACACCUGUGGGUAUUUCUCGUUAGGUGGAACGAGAGACUUGGAAAAGAAAAAGACACAGAGACAAAGUAUAGAGAAAGAAAUAAGGGGGCCCAGGGGACCAGCGUUCAGCAUAUGGAGGAUCCUGCCAGCCUCUGAGUUCCCUUAGUAUUUAUUGAUCAUUAUUGGGUGUUUCUCGGAGAGGGGGAUGUGGCAGGGUCACAGGAUAAUAGUGGAGAGAAGGUCAGCAGAUAAACACAUGAACAAAGGUCUCUGCAUCAUAGACAAGGUAAAGAAUUAAGUGCUGUGCUUUAGAUAUGCAUACACAUAAACAUCUCAAUGUCUUACAGAGCAGUAUUGUUGCCCGCAUGUCCCACCUCCAGCCCUAAGGCAGUUUACCCCAUCUCAGUAGAUGGAACAUACAAUCGGGUUUUAUACCGAGACAUUCCAUUGCCCAGGGAGGGGCAGGAGACAGAUGCCUUCCUCUUGUCUCAACUGCAAAGAAGCAUUCCUUCCUCUUUUACUAAUCCUCCUCAGCACAGACCCUUUAUGGGCGUCGGGCUGGGGGACGGUCAGGUCUUUCCCUUCCCACGAGGCCAUAUUUCAGACUAUCACAUGGGGAGAAACUUUGGACAAUACCUGACUUUCCUAGGUGGACGUCCCUGCGGCGGCCUUCCGCAGUGUUUGUGUCCCUGGGUACUUGAGAUUAGGGAGUGGUGAUGACUCUUAAUGAGCAUGCUGCCUUCAAGCAUCUGUUUAACAAAGCACAUCUUACACAGCCCUUAAUCCAUUUAACCCUGAGUUGACACAGCACAUGUUUCAGAGAGCAUAGGGUUGGGGGUAAGGUUAUAGAUUAACAGCAUCUCAAGGCAGAAGAAUUUUUCUUAGUACAGAACAAAAUGGAGUCUCCUAUGUCUACUUCUUUCUACACAGACACAGUAACAAUCUGAUCUCUCUUUCUUUUCCCCACAAUCUAUGAGACCAGAGUGAUACUGAGAAGAAAUGAAAUGGAGAUAGGGAAGAAGGAAGCCGCUCCUCUCUACAGGAUGCCAAAUCAAUGCAGGAGGAGAUUCUGAGAACUACUGGACAACGGCCACAGGGGAACAGGGGAUUCAUUCCAUCUCAAAGCCUCACCCUACACAUUAUCUUUAUUAGCUAUAAAAGGGAAAAGGGAUUUGCAAUGGAGAGUUAUGGCAGACUCCAGCCUCAUGAAGUGACACAACUUAGCAUUGCCACCCAGGGGACAAACCCACACUAUGAGUCUGAUUCAGUGCACCAAGAAGGACAAACAUCACUUACUCUGCUAUAACAUAACGCAGUAUAUUAUACACUAACAUAUGUAGUAUAUUACAUUACAUAAUAACAUAGUACAGGCUUCUAGGACACAGUUUAUAGAAGUGCAGAUAAUACUUGAGGCAGUUUCCCAAACUUGCAAAUAAAAACUCUCCACAGGGCUUGUGACUAGCACAUUCCCAAAGCCCCAAACCCAGAAUUCCACCUGCUUAGUGAGCACCUCCAGAGCACUUUUUUUUUUUUUUUUUUUUGAGACGGAGUUUUGCUCUUGUUGCCCAGGCUGGAGUGCAAUGGCAGGAUCUCGGCUCACUGCAACCUCCACCUCCCAGGUUCAAGCGAUUCUCGUGCCUCAGCCUCCUGAGCAGCUGGGAUUACAGGCACCCACCUAAUUUUUGUAUUUUUAGUAGAGAUGGAGUUUCACCAUGUUGGUCAGGCUGGUCUUGAACUCCCAACCUCAGGUGAUCCACCCACCUUGGCCUCCCAAAGUGCUAGGAUUACAGGCACGAGCCACUGCGCUCGGCCAUCUCUAGGGCAUAUUUUUACUGUGCAAUGUGGGAAUCUCUGCCAUAGGGUGGGCUGCCUUUCUAACCCAGUGGCCCGGUUCUAGCAGGACUUCCCCAGUAUGUGGAUGGGGGCACAGGGACUCUUGGGGGGGCCUCAAGGCAUCUGUGAGCUAGGCCUAACCACCGCUACUGAAUGACUGCGAGAUGAGUCCCAGAGCUGGGACGAGAGUGGGCCUGGUACCCUGCCCCAGCCCUCCCCUGACAGGAGUUAGUAAGGGACAGGUUAGCAUGCUAAAGAGAUAGCAAGCUGGUCACAGCCUAGGGCCACCACCCUUCUGUCUUACAAGUCAGAAACAUGUCCUGACUUUGGGGGAGAGGGUAUAUGUUAAACGGGCCCACCCUGGGAGCUGUAGUGGUCACUGUGGAGCUGAGCACUGGGCUGCACUCCUCGCUGCCCCAGAGUGACCAGGUGGGUGGUUUCAUCCAAGAGGCAGGGCUCAGAAGGCCAGGCUGAGCCACCGAUAUGCAUGUCUGCACCCCACCACUUCCUGCUCAGUCUGUAUCAGGCCCGGGAUGAAAUCGUCACUUAGACGCUCAGGGGUCCUCCCACCCAUCUGGCCAACACAAACCUGCCAGCAUAGCACUGAGUGGAAGGUUCCAGUGCACCCACAGGCCUGGCUGUUAAAAUGUCCGGCCUCUCCAGAGGACAGGUUAAGUUCACACUGAGAAAGCCUGGCUCUCUCCAGCUAGCCUGAAUUAAAGUGAGAAGGAUGAGCACAGCACCUGUGGAAAUGGCGCUGGAAAGCAAGUGUACCUAGGAACUGCCUCUGGGCCACCGAAGUGCGCCGGCCCAGUGUUCUCAGACAACCCAGGAGGAGUCCUCCAUCUGGCCACUUCCCACCCGUUAGGCCCCGAGGGGACACCAGGUUGGUGAGACCCGGACCCCACCAGCAAAGGACCCUUCCUUCAUUCAUCACACACUGGCUCCAUCUGCACUGCACCUACUGCCAGCCAGGCACUGAGCUUCACAUCCGCACAAAACACAAAGACCUCUGAUACGGUUUGGGUCUGUGUUCCCACCUAAACCUCGUGGUGAAUUGUGAUUAUGUUGAGUUGUUUUGGAGGUAGGGCCUGGUGAGAAGUGACUCGAUGAUGGGGUGGAUUUCUCAUGAAUGGUUUAGCACCAUCUCCUUGAUGCUGUUCUUAAGAUAGUGAGUUUUCACGAAAUCUGGUUGUUUAAAAGUGUGCGCCCCACCCCUUGCUUCUGCUCUGGCCAUGUGAUCUGCCUGCCUUCCCCUUCGCCUUCCACCAUGAUUGUAAGAUUCCUGAGGCCUCCCCAGAGGCUGAGCAGAUAUCGGUACUACGCUUGCUAUACAGCCUGCAGAACUAUGAGCCAAUUAAACCUCUUUUCUUUAUAAAUUACCCAGUCUCAAGUAUUUAGAGCAAUGCAAAAAUGGACUACUACAACCUCACGGUUCUGGAGGCUGAAAAGUCUAAGGAUGGAGUGUCCUUCUCAGUGUGCAGUCAAGAUGCCGGCAGGUUUGGGGCCUGGUGAGGCUCUUUGCUUCUUCCAUGGUGUCUUUUGCACGGUGCGUCCUCCGGAGGGGAGGAAGGCUGCAUGCUUACAUGGCAGAAGGUGAAAAGCCAAGAGAGAACCCACUCCCAAAGCCCUCUCAGUAAGGCAUUAAACCCACCAUAAGGGUGCAGCUCUCAUGGCUUAAUCGCCUCUUAAAGGCGCCACCUCCCAAUACCAUUACACCAGCAAUCGAAAUUCAACACGAGUUCUGGAGGGGAAGGCAUUCAAACCCUUGCCCCUUCUCUGAACCGGUGGGACUUGCCCAGCAUGCCAGACUGCCUGGGCUCUGACUCCUUCCUCAGCCUGUGUCACUACGGCCCACAGUUGCAUCAAAGCAUGCUGCUCUCCAUCUCCAGACUCCCAGCCUGGCAUUUCCAAUAUUCUCCCCUUUCACAGCCCCUCAAAUCCAAAUCCUACAGCAAAUGCCGGAGAUUCUAUUUCAGUCCUUUCUUGUCAGGACUGACAGUGUCAGCUGGAGCCCCUGUCCUUUGGGACACCUGUGAAAUGGUCCUGAACACCUCAAGUUGGACCCCCUCAAUAUCAGUUUGGGGGUGUCCCUGAUGUCACCCACUAACCCUAAUGUGCUUCUCAGCGCCUUCAGUUUCCACAUCAACACAACUCCUUAUAGGUUAGUACAAUCCCUUUGAAAAACUGGCAGUGUUCACUGAACAAAUGCCUCCCUAUGACCCAGCAAUUCUACUCCAAAGAAAACACCCAACAGAAAUGAAUACUUAUGCUCACCCCAAGGCAAGUACAAGAACGUUCAGAACAGCCCUAUUCAGAACAGUCCCAAACUGGAAAUGAUGCAAACGUCUGUCAUCACUGGAAUGGAUAAAUACACUGUGGCAUAUUCACACCAACACAAGGAUGAGUCACCUACGACUUCGCUCUCCCACAUGGAUGAGUAAUGCUGUGUGAGGGACCAGCCCAAAAGAGCACAUCCUGUUCCCCAAAGCCCUCAGGCGUCAGACCUCUACCCUGUUAGGAAGGACAGUGGCUGAACCUCCCGCUGCAUGCAACUGGAGGGGCUGUGAGGAGUGGGGUCUGGAGAAGCUCUUCAUUGCAGUCUGGUGUAUGCAAGUGUGACAGUGUACUAUGGGCACACUUGGCAACCACCACCUGUGGGCAGCAUCUGUGGGUGUGACAGACCUCCCUGGACCUGGGCCAUGGGCCUGCGGGGUCCCACAUCCCACGGUCAUGGGCCGUCCACCAUCUUCCUCCCUACCUUAUCUAAUGCCUCCUGGCCCUCCCCACACCCAACAGGGCUCUAGGUCCUUCGUUAAGGCCAGUGGUACCAGCGACACCCAGGCCUUCUCCACAAGCUACAAGGAAUCUGCCCAGCAGCCAGUCUUCCCAGGAGGAGGCCGGGGGCCACCGGCUCAGGACUUGCCUUGCAUUUUUUUUUUUUUUGGCAUGAUCUAGGCUCAUUGCGACCUCCACCUCCCAGGUUCAAGCGGUUCUCCUGCCUCAGCUUCCUGAGUAGCUGGAAUUGCAGGCACCCACCACUGCACCUGGCUAAUUUUUUGUAUUUUUAGUAGAGACGGGGUUUCAUCAUGUUGGCCAGGCUGGUCUCAAACUCCUGACCUCAGGUGAUCCACCCACCUCAGCCUCCCAAAGUGCAGGGAUUACAGGCAUGAGCCACCGCGCCCAGCCAUUGUGUUUUGUUCCUUGUGGGGAUGCACAUCCCUCUUCCAACCUGUGGCUACUGCUCUUGGGGUCCUGUUGCUGGGGGCCCUGCAGUAGACUCCACACAGGUCCUCCUGCCUCCUGGGCCCUCCUCAGAGCCUCCACAGGCUGCAGACUCCACUCCCCAGAUGGAGGUCUGAGCCCGGCACCCUUCCUGCAAACCACUACCUCACAAAAAAGACAAGAAUCCUACACCCCCAACCCAGACCCCUUCCUGGCAGGUCCUCAGGCUGGGCAUGGGCAGAGCAAAGACAGACUUGAGGAGGUAACCAGGGUGAAGGCAAACACUGGGCCAAAACCAGUGGGCAUCCUGAUGUGUGGAUUCCAAAGGGACCAGGCGAGCAGGGAGCAGUACUGAUGUCAGGGAGGCCGGAGGGAGACAGAGGAAGCCCGUAAUCAGGGAGCUUGGGAGCUGCCUGCUGGGCAGGGAGGAGCUGUGGACACCAAUCGGGCACUCUCAAGCCCUUCCCAGCCUGGCUGUCUCCCUCCUCUGGCCCUUCGGUGUUUCCCUUGGGAGUGGUGUGGGUCCCUACCUGGACUCAUCCUGAGGAAGCUGCCUCCUGGAGCAGGCAGGAUGCUGGAGCUCCGUGUGGCCGGCCCUGGUUCUCUGCGAAGCCGCUCCUGAGAGCCUGCCUAGUGCAGAAGUGCCCCGAGCUGGCUGCUCUUCCUGCCUAAAACGGGGCACUGAGCACAGGAGCCUCUGGAUCUGAUCCCCUGCCUGUUUUUGUACGGCUCUCAAGCUAGGAAUACCUUUUACAUUUUUAAAUGAUUGAAAAAAAAAUCCAAGUAAUCAUGGUGUUAAAAUGAUAUGAAAUUUGAAUUUCAGUGUCCAUAAAUCAAGUUGGGACACAGCUUCUCUCAUUCAUUUACAGUUGUCUAAGUUUCUGUCACUCUUCGGCAGCAGAGGUGAGCAGCCAAAACAGAGACUGCAUGGCCUGCAAAGCCUGAAAUAUUUACCGGCUGCUCUUUACAGAAAGAGUUGGCCGUUCACUACCCUGGAGUGUGGACCUCUGGGCGAGGAACCUGUAUCCGUAGCGCUGCCUUGCACGUCCAGGCUCACAGGUGAGUCCUCAGGAAGGAGUCCCGUUGGUUCUCUAUGCAGCAUGCCAGGCAACAGGGUGCUUGGGAGGGGAGGCAGGCUGGCCUGGGCAGGAGGAUUCUUGGAGGCUCCUUUAAAAUUCACUGCCUCACUCAGGGUGAUGCACAUUAAAACUCCAUGGAGCCAGGUGUGGUGGCAUGCACCUGUAGUUCCAGCUACUCCGAAGCUGAGGUGGGAGAAUCACUUGAGCUCAGGAGUUUGAGUCCAGCCUGGGCAACUUAGUGAGACCCUAUCUGUUCAAAAAAUGACAACAGCAUAAUAGGACAGCAGUACUCCCCCCAGAACAGUUAAUAUUAAAAUUACGGACAGUACCAAGUGCUAGCAUGGAUGUGGAGCAACUGGAAUCCUCACACACUGCUAAUGGGAGAGUAAAAUGUUACAGCCAUGUUGGUAGGUUUUUUUUUUUUGGAGACGGAGUUUCGCUCUGUCGCCCAGGCUGGAGUGCAGUGGCACCAUCUCAGCUCACUGCAAGCUCUGCUUACCAGGUUCACACCAUUCUCCUGCCUCAGCCUCCCGAGCAGCUCGGACUACAGGCGCCCGCCACCACGCCCAGCUAAUUUUUUUGUAUUUUUAGUAGAGACGUGGUUUCACUGUGUUAGCCAGGAUGGUCUCGAUAUGCUGACCUCGUGAUCCGCCCACCUCAGCCUCCCAAAGUGCUGGGAUUACAGGCGUGAGGCACCGCGCCCGGCCAUUAGUAGGUUCUUAUAACCGGUUAUAACUGGUUGGUAGGUUCUUAUAAAGUUAAACAUUCACAUGACAUAUGACCCAGCCAUUCUGCCUUUAGAUAUUCAUCCAAAAGAAAUAAAAAUAUAUGCCUAUAAAAGCCUUGCACAAGAAUGGACACAGAAGACUUAUUCAUUAAAGCUCCAAAGAGGAAACGGCCCAGGGGAAUAUCAACAGGCAAAUGAAGAAACAAAGUGUGAGGCAACCUCCCGUCACUCAACAGGUGGCUGAGGGACCCCCGCACCAGGGCAGCACCUGCUGGACUUGGGUUCACCAGCGAACGAGCAGGUCUGAUGCUCCUCUCAGGGUCUAAGCCGAAUCCAAGAAUCUGAUGAGUGUGAAGACACUGGAAGAACCUGAUCACGCAGGCUCCUUUCUCAAGCACCCCGAUGCCCGCAGGUGAAGGGGCACAUGCCAAGGACAAGCCCGCCUCAGCCCUGGACAUCGUUCAUCGCGCGAGUGAGCAAUGCUUGAGUGAGAAACCUGACAGCGGUGUCCCCAUAACUUCCACCGCCUCUGGAGCCACCCGGCAAAAGCCAGCGUCUGACAAUCCUUCAGUAAUAGUGAAGACACCUGUUAUAUUGCUGUCCAGCCAAAAGCUCCUUGUUGCAGGAUGAACAGCCCCAGUUGUUUCAAACAUGCCCCACAUCUCAUGGCCUCCACACAGGUCGUAUUAAACACCUCUAACAGAGACUGCACGCCAAGUGUGGCUCCUCAAAGACCUUGCCUGGGGACUCUGCCACUGAUGGCUGCGACCUGCACACUCCUGAGAGCUCCUUCCUGGAACUGCCUCAUUUCUCUCAUCAUCCUUGAUUUUUUGAGAUGGAG
Homo sapiens (human) is the source of this 9958-nucleotide long non-coding RNA. RefSeq lists it as uncharacterized. Lineage: Eukaryota; Metazoa; Chordata; Mammalia; Primates; Hominidae. The transcript has 3 exons. The record is from RefSeq and is a predicted model, not a curated record.